This 1250-nucleotide ribosomal RNA is filed under the name Nucleospora salmonis. RNAcentral describes it as "SSU rRNA". It matches the Rfam family "Microsporidia small subunit ribosomal RNA". The record is from RNAcentral. Lineage: Eukaryota; Fungi; Microsporidia; Enterocytozoonidae.
GACGUGGGUGCUAGCCUCUAAGAUUUAGCCAUGCAUGCUUUGUGAACCCAGACGGGGGAACGGCGAACGGCUCAGUAAUGUUGCGGUGAUCUGCUCUGGUUGAGAAAGAUAACCACGGUAAACUGUGGCUAAGAGACCAGAAUGAGCUGCAACCCUAUCAGUUUGUUGGAAGUGUAAAAGACUCCCAAGACGUCGACGGGUAACGGGAAAUCAGUGUUUGAUUCCGGAGAGGGAGCCUGAGAGAUGGCUCCCACGUCCAAGGAUGGCAGCAGGCGCGAAAAUUGUCCACUCUUUGGAGAGGAGACAGUUAUGAGGCGUGAUUAAAAGAGCGAAGUGUAAACACCUUCGUGUAACGCAAUUGGAGGGCAAGUUUUGGUGCCAGCAGCCGCGGUAAUUCCAACUCCAAGAGUGCCCAUGGUGGAUGCUGCAGUUAAAAAGUCCGUAGUCGUAGAUGCAAUUAAAGGGUGCGGAUCAAGCGCACUGAGUUUGUUGAGUUGUAGCGGAGCGGAUAGGGAGCAUGGUAUAGGUUGGCGAAGAAUGAAAUCUCAAGACCCAACCUGGACCAACUGAGGCGAAAGCGGUGCUCUUAUACGCAUCCGAGGAUCAAGGACGAAGGCUGGAGGAUCGAAAGUGAUUAGAUACCGCUGUAGUUCCAGCAGUAAACUAUGCCGACAUUCUCUGUCCAGCGGACGGGGAAGGGAGAAAUCUUAGUUUUCGGGCUCUGGGGAUAGUACGCUUGCAAGAGUGAAACUUAAAGCGAAAUUGACGGAAGGACACUACCAGGAGUGGAUUGUACUGCUUAAUUUGACUCAACGCGGGAAAACUUACCAGGGUCAAGUUCUCCGUAGAUCGAGUACGUGAGGGGAACGAGAGUGGUGCAUGGCCGUUGGAAAUUGAUGGGAUGACUUUUAGCUUAAAUGCUGAAACCAGUGAGAUCUUCUAGACAGGUGCCAUCCGGCACAGGAGGGCGAAGGCGAUAACAGGUCCGUGAUGCCCUUAGAUAUCCUGGGCUGCAAGUGCAAUACAAUAUCCAUGUCGAUCAAGAAAGGUGAUUAUGGAUGAGCAGGAUUAGCUCUUGUAAAUGAGCUAUGAAUGAGGAAUUCCUAGUAACAGUGUCUCACUAAGGCAUUGUGAAUGCGUCCCUGUUCUUUGUACACACCGCCCGUCACUAUUUCAGAUGGCCAUGAAGAUGAAGAGCUUCGGUUCUGAAUAUUCAUGUCUAGAUAAAGUACAAGUCGUAACAAGGUUGC